UCUUCGUCAUCAUAAUAUGCCUGAAGUAAUAUCCUUUUCCUUCCUCUCUCAGAGUUGGAACUUAGGCCAUACGAUGAGCGGCAUGUCACGAAAACGCAGCCACGCAGAGGCCCUGGUGCCAGCCGUCGACACCAGCAAAGAGUUCAGUCUCGCACCCGUGGCUCCCCCACUCAAGAAACCAUUGACAGGACACCCAAAGGAAUGCCUUUGGCCUCAACCACAAAACUAAGAAGCAUCUUUAUCAAUUUCCUGGAAAAAAAAGCAUAUAUCCAAGCUCCAUCUUGCUAGAAUGUACUUGAUGGAAGGGUCUUGUCCUUUGCCAAGGUGGUAAAGGCUCCCACUUGACACUGUGCCAAUUAUAGGUGUGAAUUCAGGUUUUCAAAGGGAGUGUUUUGUGAACGUUCGCCAUUUCAUUUUGCACUUCUGUUGAUAAGACCCAUUUUUCUGCAGGUUGUAUUACUAUGUUGUUGUUUUUUCAUUUUAGAGUCAAUGUUCUUUUUUAUUGUAUUUGUCUUAUAUGAUUAGUAUAUGAAUAUUA
Penaeus vannamei (Pacific white shrimp) is the source of this 538-nucleotide non-coding RNA. The record is from RefSeq and is a predicted model, not a curated record. Lineage: Eukaryota; Metazoa; Arthropoda; Malacostraca; Decapoda; Penaeidae.